CCUCUCGGGGAAGAAAAAGGGAAUGCGGUGCGGGCGACUUUCGCCCAAUGCCGCGGCUGCCCCCGCAACUGUAGGCGGAGAGUGUUCCUCGACGCGCCACUGGGAUUCUCCGGGAAGGCAAGAGGAAACACGCUGAUCCGUGAGCCAGGAGACCUGCCGGCAUCGGA
Molecule: non-coding RNA, 167 nt
Filed under: Microvirga massiliensis
Lineage: Bacteria; Pseudomonadati; Pseudomonadota; Alphaproteobacteria; Hyphomicrobiales; Methylobacteriaceae
Source: RNAcentral